UACGGAGGGUGCAAGCGUUAUCCGGAUUCACUGGGUUUAAAGGGUGCGUAGGUGGGCAGGUAAGUCAGUGGUGAAAUCUCCGAGCUUAACUCGGAAACUGCCGUUGAUACUAUUGUCUUGAAUAUUGUGGAGGUAAGCGGAAUAUGUCAUGUAGCGGUGAAAUGCUUAGAUAUGACAUAGAACACCAAUUGCGAAGGCAGCUUACUACACAACGAUUGACGCUGAGGCACGAAAGCGUGGGAUCAAACAGG
RNAcentral lists this ribosomal RNA (251 nucleotides) under uncultured bacterium. RNAcentral describes it as "partial 16S ribosomal RNA". It matches the Rfam family "Bacterial small subunit ribosomal RNA", at positions 524 to 776 of the family's 1533-position model. The record is from RNAcentral.